UCAAUUUUAUGUUUUGGUUGAUCCAAAUUCCUGGAAAGUGGUGUAGUGGCACACCCGAAAAUUUAAAUAAUUCAAUUAUAGGUCUAUUUUGCGAGAUUUUAUACAAUUUUAUGUCGGUUUUAAGUUUCGGUUGAUCCAAAUUCCCGCAAAUUGGUGUAGUGGUCCACCCGAAAAAUUUAAAUAAUUCAAUUAUAGGUCUAAUUUGCGAGACUUUAAACAAUUUUUUAAUAGUUAAUUUUAGUGGCCCACCCUAAUAUUUUUUUCUGGCUCC
Molecule: long non-coding RNA, 271 nt
Filed under: Medicago truncatula (barrel medic)
Lineage: Eukaryota; Viridiplantae; Streptophyta; Magnoliopsida; Fabales; Fabaceae
Description: long non-coding RNA (MTRU_LNC006540)
Source: RNAcentral